AGAGGGAUAGAAAGCCAGAUUCUUCAAACUCGAGAUUGAGCCGACUCGAAAGAUAGUCGAGCCUACUCAAAGUCAAACCAAGCCAAAUUGAGAUCAUUUCUAGCCAACUCGAAUGCUUCUGAUAUGCAUAAUGGCUAGUUAUACAGUGUAUCUUAUUUUUCAAUCCAAAUGAUAAAAAUGGCUAGUUUUGGCUUCAAAUCACUCCAGACUUGGAGGGAAUCAAGA
Molecule: long non-coding RNA, 225 nt
Filed under: Elaeis guineensis (African oil palm)
Lineage: Eukaryota; Viridiplantae; Streptophyta; Magnoliopsida; Arecales; Arecaceae
Description: long non-coding RNA (EGUI_LNC052602)
Source: RNAcentral